Molecule: ribosomal RNA, 498 nt
Filed under: uncultured bacterium
Lineage: Bacteria
Description: bacterial SSU rRNA
Rfam family: Bacterial small subunit ribosomal RNA
Source: RNAcentral
GAUGAACGCUAGCGGCAGGCUUAAUACAUGCAAGUCGAGGGGCAGCACGGUUAGCAAUAACUGGUGGCGACCGGCGCACGGGUGCGUAACACGUAUACAAUCUACCUUAAACAGGGGAUAGCCUUUCGAAAGAGAGAUUAAUACCCCGUAAUAAAUUGAACGGCAUCGUUUGAUUUUGAAAGCUCCGGCGGUUUGAGAUGAGUAUGCGUCUGAUUAGCUAGUUGGUGAGGUAACGGCUCACCAAGGCGACGAUCAGUAGGGGAUCUGAGAGGACUAACCCCCACACUGGUACUGAGACACGGACCAGACUCCUACGGGAGGCAGCAGUAAGGAAUAUUGGUCAAUGGAGGCAACUCUGAACCAGCCAUGCCGCGUGCAGGAUGACGGCCCUAUGGGUUGUAAACUGCUUUUAUACAAGAGAAAACCCUGGUACGUGUACCAGGUUGAUAGUAUUGUAAGAUAAGCAUCGGCUAACUUCGUGCCAGCAGCCGCGGUAAU